This 27-nucleotide non-coding RNA is filed under the name Homo sapiens (human). The record is from RNAcentral. Lineage: Eukaryota; Metazoa; Chordata; Mammalia; Primates; Hominidae.
ACGAUGCAGCAUCACUGGACUGUAGCC